RNAcentral lists this ribosomal RNA (2646 nucleotides) under metagenome. RNAcentral describes it as "bacterial LSU rRNA". It matches the Rfam family "Bacterial large subunit ribosomal RNA". The record is from RNAcentral.
AAUCUUAUUAAAGGGCAAUAAGAGGAUAUCUUGGUAUUAGGUAUUAUGUGGACGUGCCUAAAAUACGAAAAGUUACAAGGAGCUAGGACGCUGUGAUUUGUGAAUAUCCACCAGGAAAACUAAGCACUUUUGCUUUUUUAUUGACCGUAGUGAACUGAAACAUCUAAUUAACUACAGGAAAAAAAAUCAACCGAGAUUUCGUUAGUAGCGGCGAGUGAAAGCGAAUUAGACCUAUAAUUUAAAAACAAAAUGGAGAACUAUAGUAAAGCUAUGACCAUAGAGGGUAAUGAGUCCCGUAUGCAAUAAUUNUUUUAAAUUUAUGAGUAAAUUGGAACAUGCGUAAUUCUGAUUGAAGAAAGGAGAACCACCUUCUAAGUCUAAAUAUAUCUAAUAACCGAUAGUGUAUAAGUACCGUGAGGGAAAGAUGAAAAAGUACCCGAGGGGGUAAAAAGACCUUGAAACUUAUUGCUUACAAGCUUUAGGAGCCUUUUGGGUGACUGAUUGCUUUUUGUAUAACGAACCAUCGAGUUAAUUUAUUUAGCGAGCUUAAGUUGUGAAAUGUAAGCGUAGCGAAAGCGAGUUUUAAUAAAGCGGCAGUUAAAUGGAUUAGACCCGAAAUUGAGUGAUCUAUUCAUGAGCAGGUUGAAAACGAUGUAAAAUUCGUUGGAGGACCGAACCAGUUACUGUUGCAAAAGUAUUGGAUGACUUGUGAAUAGGGGUGAAAGGCUAAUCAAACUCAAAGAUAGCUGGUUCUCCGUGAAAUCUAUUUAAGUAGAGGGCUCGAAUAUUUUACGUUUGGGGUAGAGCUCUUUAUAGUUUAGGGUGAUGAAUAAUCUUACCGACACUAUGAAAACUACGAAUACGAAUAGUAUAAUUCGAGCACACAGACUAUGGGUGCUAAGAUCCUUAGUCAAAAGGGAAACAGCCCAGACUACGCGUUAAAGUCCUUAAAUUUUCCUAAGUGGUUAAGGGAGUAAAAUAAUAAAAACAGCUAAAAGGUAGGCUUGGAAGCAGCCAUCCUUUAAAGAAAUCGUAAUAGAUCAUUAGCCUAAUUAUUUUGCACCGAAGAUGUAACGGGGCUAAAGGAAAAUACUGAAACGGUAGGCUUAUUAUAAGCGGUAACGGAGCGUUCUGUAAGCCGACGAAGUUAAGCUGUUAAGUUUAAUGCAGGUAUCAGAAGUGAAAAUGAUGGUAUGAGUAGCGUAAAGAAAGGUGUAAAUCCUUUCCACCGUAAACCAAAGGGUUCUGAGGUUAAGUUCGUCUUCCUCAAAAUAAAUCAGCCCCUAAUAUGCUAUCUGAAAAGAUAAAUAAAUGGGUAAAUUAAGCUGCGACGUAUUAUUUUCGUAAUAAAUGUUAGUUUAUGGUGAACUAAUCAUUAUUUACGAUGUAAAUUAAUUCCGGGAAAUAACACUUAAUUUAAACUGUACCCUAAACCGACACUGGUUGGUUAGUUGAAAAUACUAAGGUGUUUGGGAGAACUGUGUUGAAGGAACUCGGCAAAAUGACUCUGUAACUUCGGGAGAAGGAGUUCCAUAUGUACGCAUAUGGAGGCACAAAAUAGAAGAUAGCGACUAGUUAAUAAAACUACAGGACUUUGCGAAAUCGAAAGAUGAUGUAUAAGGUCUGACGUCUGCCCGGUGACAGAAGGUUAAUAAGAUAAGUAUACUGCUUAAAAUUGAAGCCCUGUUAAACGGCUGCCCUAACUCUGAGGGUACUAAGGUAGCAAAAUUCCUUGUCUCCUAAUUAGAGACCUGCAUGAAUGACGUAACGACUUUCUUACUGUCUCCAACACAGACCCUGUGAAAUUGAAUUCUCUGUGAAGAUGCAGAGUAUCUACAGCUAGACGGAAAGACCCUAUGAACCUUUACUACACUUUUACGAUGUUAAUAAUGUUAAGAUGCGCAGGAUAGGUAGAAGUUUUUUAUUAAAAACGUCCUUGAGAUACUACCCUUCUUUCAUUUAUUAACUAAUUUAUAUAAUUUUAACUAUUUAUAAAAACAUCGUAUGAUUGGUAGUUUCUUUGGGGCGAAGCUCUCCUAAAGAGUAACGGAGAGGCGCAAAGGUAAACUCAAACUGACAAACAUCAGUUGUAGAGCGUAAUGGUAUAAGUUUGCCUGACUGUUAGAUUCAUAAAUCGAGCAGGAGCUUUAAUUAUUCAUUUAAUUACAGCUGGCCAUAGUGAUCUGGUAGUUUUUAGUGGAAAAGCUAUCACUCAACAGAUAAAAGGUACUCUAGGGAUAACAGGCUAAUACCGGCUAAGAGUUCAUAUCGCCGCCGGUGUUUGGCACCUCGAUGUCGAUUGUGCGUAUCCUGGGGCUGAAGCAGGUCCCAAGGGUUGAGUUGUUCGCUCAUUAAAACGCAACCUGAAUUGGGUUUAGAACGUCGUAAGACAGUUUGGUCCCUAUCUACUGUGGACGUUAUUAUUAAAAAAUUUGAAAGGUAUCGAGACUAGUACGAGAGGAUCGUCAAGAAUAAACCAAUGGUGUAUCGAUUGUCACGCCCGUGGCAACGUCGAGUAUCUACGUUUGUAUGAGAUAACCGCUGAAAACAUCUCAAGCGGGAAGCCUACCUUAAGAUAAAAUUUUUGAAAGCCGUGUAAUAACAGCACGUUGAUAGGUUCUANNUACNAANUNUANUAANCCCAGU